RNAcentral lists this long non-coding RNA (1390 nucleotides) under Malus domestica (apple). RNAcentral describes it as "long non-coding RNA (MDOM_LNC004054)". Lineage: Eukaryota; Viridiplantae; Streptophyta; Magnoliopsida; Rosales; Rosaceae. The record is from RNAcentral.
GUGGACUUGAUUGACAGGGGCCUGGCUUGUUUUCUGGACUGAGGGCUGGGACAUUUUGUCCCCGCUGGACUUGCUCUUAACUCAAUUGGAAUAAUGAUCCAUCAACUAAAAAUCCAUUACCAUUGGUCCCUCAACUCAUCUAAACGUGCAGCUAUGGUCCCUCAAUUCAAAAUUCAUUACCAUUGGUCCCUCAACUUUAAUUCAACUGGAGAAAUGGUCCCUUAACUUUAACCUAAUUGUAGCAAUGGUCAUUCAAACAUAACUCGUUUUGACAAAAAUUUUGAUGCAAUUGAUGAAAAUGACCAUAAUUACAUACUUUAAUGAGUUGAUGGACCCUAAUUAUAUAAAUGGUUAUUCCAACAUAACUUAUUUUGACAAAAUUUUGAUGAAAUUGAUGAAAAUGACUAUAGCUACAAAUUUUGAUAAGUUGAGGGACCAAUGGUAAUGGAUUUUUAGCUGAGGGACCAUUGUUCCAAUUUGAUUAAAGUUGAUGGAUCAUUGCUACAAUUUACUCUUUUUAUUACAACACUAAUCGGGUUAUACCUCGUGCACCAAUGUUAUUUUUAUCUUUUUUUCUACGAGCAUUUGUUUUUUUCAGGAUUCCUAAUAAUACGCGGUUACCCCGCCAAGUGUUUCAACCCAUGUUCUAACCAUAGGUGAAGUUCUUUAAUCUUAAAAGUAUUGUCCAUUAAAGGCCAGUUUUGCUACAGAACUUUCGGUGUGAAAUGCUAAGAGCAUUUCCACCGGAGGUGGAAUAGUCCAGCACCCAGUCAAAAAACCAGGCUAGGACUCUGGCAAUCCCCUCCAACCCACAAACUUGCCUGGCACCCAGCCCAAGUUGGUCUUCAGGCCAACCCAAACUUGACUAACCAAGGAAUCAGCGUAUUUGCCUGGCGCAUGGCUUUCACACGGCUGUGGGUGCGAGUAGCUAAUAGCCAUUCAGAGAUCGUUGGAUUUCCAACGGUAAAGGAAAUUUGAAUUUCACUUUUGAUUUGGACCGUCCAAUUACAGAUCAACGGUCCACGUUUUUCGCCCAAAAAAAAAAAAAAAAAAGGCCCAAUGGUCAUAAUUCUGACCAUUGGCCACGUGGCAGCUUAUAGGCUGUUGGAUUUGAAUAUUUUUAAAUCCAACGGUCCAGAUUAAUUAACUAAAUUAAAAAUUAUUAAAAAUUAUGAAAAAAUACAGAAAAAUUUUAAAAAAAAAUUCUAUGAAUACCUAACUCUCAUCUUCCACCUUACACCACAUUUUAAUUUUUUCUACACUUUCUACAUUUCAAUAUUUUCUACACUUUGAGAGAAAAAAAUGUCUUCGUGGAAGUUCAUUGAAGAUGUUACAUUGUGUGAAUGUUGGGUUCACACAACUCAUGACCCGAUUACGGUUAAUGAGAUGG